RNAcentral lists this long non-coding RNA (225 nucleotides) under Vigna radiata. Its description in RNAcentral is "long non-coding RNA (VRAD_LNC001830)". Lineage: Eukaryota; Viridiplantae; Streptophyta; Magnoliopsida; Fabales; Fabaceae. The record is from RNAcentral.
AUUAAAACGAUUAACAUCCAACAUUCAAUUAAAUCUACCAAGAGAGAUGAAAAUUAAAAAUUCUUCCAAAGGGCACUCACUAGCCGUGACACCUAUCAACAAAGCACCGUCCACCACUUGUACAGAAAAGAAAUAAAUGACCUAAAAGAAAUUACACUAUAGACUACAACCUACUCCUAUCUAUCAACAUUGGCACCAAAAUAAAAGGGAGAUGCUAAAAGAAAG